This 164-nucleotide ribosomal RNA is filed under the name bacterium enrichment culture. Its description in RNAcentral is "partial 16S ribosomal RNA". It matches the Rfam family "Bacterial small subunit ribosomal RNA", at positions 355 to 507 of the family's 1533-position model. The record is from RNAcentral.
UGGGGAAUAUUGCACAAUGGGCGCAAGCCUGAUGCAGCCAUGCCGCGUGUAUGAAGAAGAGCCUUCGGGUUGUAAAGUACUUUCAGCGAGAGAGGAAGAGCGUUGUGGUUAAUAACCGCAGCGAUUGACGUUACUCGCAGAAGAAGCACUCGGCUAACUCCGUG